This is a long non-coding RNA of Anolis carolinensis (green anole), 591 nucleotides long. RefSeq lists it as uncharacterized. The transcript is spliced from 2 exons. NCBI's taxonomy places the organism in Eukaryota, Metazoa, Chordata, Lepidosauria, Squamata, Anolidae. The record is from RefSeq and is a predicted model, not a curated record.
GUCACAAGCACCUAUCACAAGCCAAGGGAUUAUUUUUGCUCUCUUGCUCUGAACAGAUGACAAGUAUGUAGAUGAGAGGAGUAGAUGCAGGAAACUAGAGCACCGCGUUGUCCAGAGGGAAGCAGCUGCUGCACUCUCCCCCUCAUAAAUAUAAGCAGAUCCAGACAGAAAAGCUCACAGAGUCAUUACAGAACCAAGAGAACAUGUUGAAGGAGGGAAAUCCUUCUGACUCAUAGUGGUGAUAGGAUAUGCCAAAAGGAAACCUCAGCCAUUUUUCUUCCUGAAGCAAAGGACAAGAUGCUGCACCAAACUUGAUGUACAAAAGCAAAGUGGAAUGCAUCUCACUACAGCCCUGGUGAUGUGACAGUGACUUCCACACCCCUUCAGAGAAAUGGGCAAGAUUAGGAGGUUCGUGGCAUGCUUUAGGAAAGAUGCUGCUCUAUAUUCCAAUAGAAUAUCAUGGUCCCCAGAGUUCAGGGUAAAGUUCACCACCAUUGUUGCCCCCAACAUUUGCUUCCAGAUGCAAUAGCCUCAUUGUGUUUAUGACACCAUCCUAAAUACUUUUGGGAAAAUAAAAUAUAAUCAAUUCUG